GACACACAGAGGAACCAGGGGCUUGUCGCUCUGCAGGACACUUAUUUCCCUGCUGUGAGGCAGAAACCACCAGCUCAGGGUGCACUGUGCAGCUUUCCAGACUGAGACUGAAGUGAGGAGGGAGACCAGGGAAGAAGAGGCAUGGGAGAGAAAUUGCCAUAAUAACUCUGCAAUAAAGAUAUUAAUUAUAUUAUA
This is a long non-coding RNA of Pipra filicauda (Wire-tailed manakin), 195 nucleotides long. RefSeq lists it as uncharacterized. The record is from RefSeq and is a predicted model, not a curated record. The transcript is spliced from 2 exons. Lineage: Eukaryota; Metazoa; Chordata; Aves; Passeriformes; Pipridae.